AUUGAACGCUGGCGGCAGGCCUAACACAUGCAAGUCGAACGGUAACAGGAAACAGCUUGCUGUUUCGCUGACGAGUGGCGGACGGGUGAGUAAUGUCUGGGAAACUGCCUGAUGGAGGGGGAUAACUACUGGAAACGGUAGCUAAUACCGCAUAACGUCGCAAGACCAAAGAGGGGGACCUUCGGGCCUCUUGCCAUCGGAUGAGCCCAGAUGGGAUUGGCUUGUUGGUGGGGUAACGGCUCACCGAGGCGACGAUCCCUAGCUGGUCUGAGAGGAUGACCAGCCACACUGGAACUGAGACACGGUCCAGACUCCUACGGGAGGCAGCAGUGGGGAAUAUUGCACAAUGGGCGCAAGCCUGAUGCAGCCAUGCCGCGUGUAUGAAGAAGGCCUUCGGGUUGUAAAGUACUUUCAGCGGGGAGGAAGGGAGUAAAGUUAAUACCUUUACUCAUUGACGUUACCCGCAGAAGAAGCACCGGCUAACUCCGUGCCAGCCGCCGCCGUAA
Molecule: ribosomal RNA, 506 nt
Filed under: uncultured bacterium
Lineage: Bacteria
Description: partial 16S ribosomal RNA
Rfam family: Bacterial small subunit ribosomal RNA
Source: RNAcentral